This 24-nucleotide non-coding RNA is filed under the name Rattus norvegicus (Norway rat). The record is from RNAcentral. Lineage: Eukaryota; Metazoa; Chordata; Mammalia; Rodentia; Muridae.
GUACCGGGCUCCUCCCAGUGUCAA